RNAcentral lists this small nuclear RNA (103 nucleotides) under Procavia capensis (Cape rock hyrax). Lineage: Eukaryota; Metazoa; Chordata; Mammalia; Hyracoidea; Procaviidae. The record is from RNAcentral.
CUGUUUAUGCAACACCUAUACUAAAAUUGGAACAACACACAGAAGAUUAGCCUGGCCCCUGUGCAAGGACAACAUGUAAAUUCACGAAGCAUUCCAUAUUUAG